Molecule: ribosomal RNA, 292 nt
Filed under: uncultured bacterium
Lineage: Bacteria
Description: partial 16S ribosomal RNA
Rfam family: Bacterial small subunit ribosomal RNA
Source: RNAcentral
GUGCCAGCAGCCGCGGUAAUACAGAGGGUGCAAGCGUUGUUCGGAAUUAUUGGGCGUAAAGGGAGUGUAGGCGGUUUCUUAAGUCUUCUGUGAAAUCUACGGGCUUAGCCUGUAACGUGCAGAGGAAACUGGGAGACUUGAGUGUCGGAGAGGAUAGGGGAAUACCCGGUGUAGAGGUGAAAUGCGUAGAUAUCGGGAGGAACACCAGUGGCGAAAGCGCCUUGCUGGGCCAGUACUGACACUGAGGAACGAAAGCCAGGGGAGCGAAAGGGAUUAGAUACCCGAGUAGUCC